ACAUAUAAGUUUUGCUUUAUUGAAUAUUUUAGAUUUUUGCUUUUUUGGAAGAUUAAGAAUUUUUCAUUUAUUAAAAAUUAAUAAAUGAAUAUAGUUUCUAUUCUUGUGGGAUCGGUACUCACCGGAGGGACUGCAGACGUUCGGAUACAAUUAGCGACUCUUUGCAAAACAUUGACGUCGACUUUGCUAAGUAACAAGACCUUUAAUCAACACACACACUACAAAUUACACUAGGUACCUGAUUGAAAAAAUCCACUAUACCAUGCCAAUGGCUAUUAGUUGUCGAGGCAGUAAACUAAAUAAAAAAAAUUGCAAACACUCAUGAUUAGUGACUUGUUCAAGCCCUUUCUACUACAGUCCUUUUAUAAAUAAGCACUUUAUACCGAUAAAACUUACAGAGCAUAUAAACAAUACAUAAGUAAAGUAGCUUGUGAAGCGGUAGGGAUUAAUUUCAUUUGGGAUGCUAAUUAGGGAGUUAUUUUCACCAGUUUUUUUUUACCCAAAAAAGGAAUCAACAUUAUUCUGAGCCUAUCUUGCUUACUUUUUAUGCUAGAAACUUUUUUUAAAAGACAAGAAUAUUGCUUGUUUUAAACAUGUAAAAAAAGUUAUGAUGAGUUUUCCAUGAAAAGUGUUUCAUUUUUUGAUUAUUUCAUAUUGAAAUAUUCGUUUUUGAAUUUGACAAAUAAGAACCUACUUUUCACUAGCUUCAACUUUGCUUCUACUGGUUCUACAGACUGCACACAUACACCAUUUUUUCAAUUUUUUAAAAGCUAUAUUUUUGCUAAGAAUAUUUUUUUCGACAAAAUAUUUACUUUCUGAGUUAUUUGCUAAAAAUUUUCUAAAAACGUGUUUUUUUGUUUGUUGAAAAAUGAACAUAUUAUUCACUUGCAAAUAACUCGAAAUGUAUUGACUUGAUGAAAAAACUCUAUUGAAUAAAAGUUGCUUAGAAUUAGUCAGUUUAUCUACUUCCGGACGUAUUUUGACGGUAUAUUUUUCACCCCUGAGAAGGGGUGGACUCAACCUUAGAGCAAAAAUACACAUUGGCACAAUAUCACUUUUUUCCUUGACAUGUUAUAUGCGUAUGCCAAAUUUCAUAUUAAACUUCUUUCAAAUCCAAAGGUUCUUCAAAAUCAGGUUUUGCAAUAUUUUAUCGUGAGUGAAUAGGCUAUAAGGCCCAUCGGUGGGUAGAAAGUGAAAAAAAAACUUACUAUGUAUAUCAAAAUAAUUACCAGUUUCUAAGCAAAAUUUGCUUAAAAAUUGAUUACCAAAAAAAACUUACUAUGUAUAUCAAAAUAAUUACCAGUUUCUAAGCAAAAUUUGCUUAAAAAUUGAUUACCAAAUUGAGAGAAUGAUUUUUUUUUCUCUGAUUCUGGCCUUGGUUUAGAACUAGAACCUUUAGCCACGUAAUUGUAUAACUUAUCACUAAGUCAGGUGUAAUGUGUAGUGUGUGUGUGUUGAGUAAGUGUCUUGUUACUUUGCAAAGUCGACAUCAUUAUCUUUGCAAAGAGACGCUAAUUGUAUCCGAACGUCUGAUUAGAACAUGGAAUGUCUGAGAGAAUGAUUAGAACAUGGAAUAUAAAAAUGAAUUUGAAGAUAACUGAUUAAUUUAUCUUGAAGUCGGUUGUAUUUUCCUGAUAUUUGACAGAAGACAAAGCAAAAAACUGAGUUUGAUUGGAAAUCAUAAAUUAACAAUUCUCUUUUUUUUUUAUCUCAGUUAGCCCUAUUUGAUUUAUUUAACAUUUUACAUUUUUUUAAUUCAAUAUUAAUUAAUGCAUUUGAGCGGGAUGCGGGCCCCAUCAAGUGUCCGGGCCCUAUGCGGCUGUCUACUGUCUAGUCCGCCUAAUGGAUAAUCUGGCGCUGCGCCCAACCCAGUCUACCUACUAAAAUUAAACAUUUCGUUAUAUUAAUAAUUUUUAACAAUAGUAGACAAUAUUAAACAUUAUUUGAACAUAAAUACAGUUUGUGAUGUGAAAUCAGUAGGUACAAUUGUACAGGGUGUGAAUAUUCCUACGAAAUUAAAAAAAACGUAAUUAUCUUUUAAACUAAGUAUCCGGUAUGAUAUUACAAAACCUUAUAUUUUAAGAAAGGAGACAUCAAGGAAAAUCCUAAAAUGUAAAAAUUUACAGUGUGUUCUAUUAAAAAAAACGAAGUUAUAAGCAACAUAAGUAGUAACUAGAUAAGUAGUCAUAAGUAGUAAAUAGAUGAAAAUAUUUUCAUUAAACAGUUCACUCUUCAAAACCCCUUGAUUCUAAUUUUCAUGAUCCAGUUACCUUUAAUUCUCGAGAUAUUUCUAAAUGGCUCUUUAUCUGCUUCACCCUAUAUACAUUGUAAUUUUACAGUCUGGUUAAGUUAUUGUUUUCAACCACUACGUACUACAUGAAUUCCAUAAAGUUAAAACAAUACAUAUAUUUACUAAAUACAGUCGAACCCGCUUAUUAGAAUACCGCUUAUAGGAAUAUCCCGGUUUAAGGAAUAUAAAUUUAAGGUCCCGAAACGUUUUUAAUAGCCACCAAUGAUCGGUUAUUAGAAUAUACUGGUUAUAGGAAUAUGUUUGCUUGGCACGAAGGCUAUUCCAAUAAGCGGGUUCGGCUAUAUCGACAAGACCAAAACAAACUUAAAAAACAUAUAUUUUUCAGUUGCAACGAAUGUAAGGAACCAAUUGGAGGCAACUCACAUAGAUUGUUAUCUACGAAUCAAGUAGCAACAGAAAUGGAUGGAGCAAGAUAUGGAGCUUGGUCAGAACAAGCAAACAUGAAUAAUUAUGUUUUAGAUUAAGGUGGUUAUAGAAGCAUAUUAUAACAAGAAAUGCAUAGGUAUUUGGACACUAUAACCAUAACAUCGAAGAAAUAUGUUACUGCAAUUGUUUUAAAUAAAAAUAUUAAUUAUUGUUACUUUAGAUUUAUGUUCUAUUCAACAAAUAAAGUAUUUUAAUUGUC
Diabrotica virgifera virgifera (western corn rootworm) is the source of this 2936-nucleotide long non-coding RNA. RefSeq lists it as uncharacterized. Lineage: Eukaryota; Metazoa; Arthropoda; Insecta; Coleoptera; Chrysomelidae. The record is from RefSeq and is a predicted model, not a curated record. The transcript has 2 exons.